GACGAACGCUGGCGGCGUGCCUAAUACAUGCAAGUAGAACACACAGUUUAUACCGUAGCUUGCUACACCAUAAACUGUGAGUUGCGAACGGGUGAGUAACGCGUAGGUAACCUGCCUGGUAGCGGGGGAUAACUAUUGGAAACGAUAGCUAAUACCGCAUAAUAUUGAUUAUUGCAUGAUAAUUGAUUGAAAGAUGCUAUUGCAUCACUACCAGAUGGACCUGCGUUGUAUUAGCUAGUAGGUGAGGUAACGGCUCACCUAGGCGACGAUACAUAGCCGACCUGAGAGGGUGAUCGGCCACACUGGGACUGAGACACGGCCCAGACUCCUACGGGAGGCAGCAGUAGGGAAUCUUCGGCAAUGGACGAAAGUCUGACCGAGUAACGCCGCGUGAGUGAAGAAGGUUUUCGGAUCGUAAAGCUCUGUUGUAAGAGAAGAACGGGUGUGAGAGUGGAAAGUUCACACUGUGACGGUAUCUUACCAGAAAGGGACGGCUAACUACGU
This 504-nucleotide ribosomal RNA is filed under the name uncultured bacterium. RNAcentral describes it as "partial 16S ribosomal RNA". It matches the Rfam family "Bacterial small subunit ribosomal RNA", at positions 28 to 506 of the family's 1533-position model. The record is from RNAcentral.